RNAcentral lists this small nucleolar RNA (66 nucleotides) under Catagonus wagneri (Chacoan peccary). RNAcentral describes it as "Small nucleolar RNA SNORD27 (ENSCWAG00000020182.1)". It matches the Rfam family "Small nucleolar RNA SNORD27". Rfam says of the family: U27 is a member of the C/D class of snoRNA which contain the C (UGAUGA) and D (CUGA) box motifs. U27 is encoded within the U22 snoRNA host gene (UHG) in mammals and is thought to act as a 2'-O-ribose methylation guide for ribosomal RNA. This family also contains several related snoRNAs from yeast and plants. Lineage: Eukaryota; Metazoa; Chordata; Mammalia; Artiodactyla; Tayassuidae. The record is from Rfam by way of RNAcentral.
UCUCCAUGAUGAACAUAAAAUGAUAAGCAUAUGCCUAAACUCAAUGAUACCUUAACUACUGAGAAG